ACAUGAAAACAAAAUAGAGUUAAUGCAUUGGAUCCCAUUAGAAAUCCACAAUUAAGCGUGCUUGGGCUAGAGUAGUACUGGGAUGGGUGACCUCCCAAGAAGUCUUAGUGUUUUACAUGCC
Picea glauca (white spruce) is the source of this 121-nucleotide non-coding RNA. NCBI's taxonomy places the organism in Eukaryota, Viridiplantae, Streptophyta, Pinopsida, Pinales, Pinaceae. The record is from Rfam.